Molecule: ribosomal RNA, 1521 nt
Filed under: uncultured prokaryote
Description: partial 16S ribosomal RNA
Rfam family: Bacterial small subunit ribosomal RNA
Source: RNAcentral
AGAGUUUGAUCCUGGCUCAGAUUGAACGCUGGCGGCGUGCUUAACACAUGCAAGUCGAACGAGAAAGUCUUAGCUUGCUAGGGCGAGUAAAGUGGCGCACGGGUGAGUAACGCGUGAAUAAUCUACCUUCGAAUCUGUGAACAACACACCGAAAGGUGUGCUAAACCGGAUAAUAUCUUUUGCCCUUCGGUGUAGAAGAUCAAAGAUGGCCUCUACUUGUAAGCUAUUGUUUGAAGAUGAGUUCGCGUACCAUUAGCUAGUUGGUGGGGUAAAGGCCUACCAAGGCUACGAUGGUUAGCUGGUCUGAGAGGAUGACCAGUCACACUGGAACUGAGACACGGUCCAGACUCCUACGGGAGGCAGCAGUGAGGAAUUUUGCGCAAUGGGGGAAACCCUGACGCAGCAACGCCGCGUGAGUGAUGAAGGCUCUUGGGUCGUAAAGCUCUGUCAAUAGGGAAGAAAUCUUCUAUGGUUAAUAUCCAUAGUUGUUGACGGUACCUAUGAAGGAAGCACCGGCUAACUCCGUGCCAGCAGCCGCGGUAAUACGGGGGGUGCAAGCGUUAAUCGGAAUUAUUGGGCGUAAAGGGAGCGCAGGCCUUUUUGCAGGUUAGGCGUGAAAGCCCAGGGCUAAACCCUGGAAGUGCGUCUAAUACUGCUUUGCUAGAGUACGGGAGAGGGAAGUGGAAUUCCUGGUGUAGAGGUGAAAUUCGUAGAUAUCAGGAGGAACACCGGUGGCGAAGGCGGCUUCCUGGACCGAUACUGACGCUGAGGCGCGAAAGCGUGGGGAGCAAACAGGAUUAGAGACCCUGGUAGUCCACGCCGUAAACGUUGAAUACUAGGUGUAGCGGGUGUUGACUCCUGCUGUGCCGCAGCUAACGCAUUAAGUAUUCCGCCUGGGGACUACGGCCGCAAGGCUAAAACUCAAAGGAAUUGACGGGGGCCCGCACAAGCGGUGGAGCAUGUGGUUUAAUUCGACGCAACGCGAAGAACCUUACCUGGAUUUGACAUCCCGAGAAGUCUCUCGAAAGAAAGAUGUGCCCUUCGGGGAACUGGGUGACAGGUGCUGCAUGGGUGUCGUCAGCUCGUGUCGUGAGAUGUUGGGUUAAGUCCCGUAACGAGCGCAACCCUUGUCUUUAGUUGCCAUCAGUUCGGCUGGGCACUCUAAAGAUACCGCCUCGGUUAACGGGGAGGAAGGUGGGGAAGACGUCAAGUCCUCAUGGCCUUUAUGACAAGGGCUACACACGUACUACAAUAGCAUAGACAAAGGGCAGCCACAUGGCAACAGUAAGCAAAUCCCAAAAAGCAGUUCUCAGUUCGGAUUGGAGUCUGCAACUCGACUCCAUGAAGUUGGAAUCGCUAGUAAUCGUGGAUCAGCAUGCCACGGUGAAUACGUUCCCGGGCCUUGUACACACCGCCCGUCACACCACGAGAGUUGACUGUACCAGAAGUUGUUGGGCCAACCUUUUAGGGGGCAGGCACCUAAGGUAUGGUUGAUAAUUGGGGUGAAGUCGUAACAAGGUA